RNAcentral lists this ribosomal RNA (500 nucleotides) under uncultured bacterium. RNAcentral describes it as "partial 16S ribosomal RNA". It matches the Rfam family "Bacterial small subunit ribosomal RNA", at positions 30 to 523 of the family's 1533-position model. The record is from RNAcentral.
AUUGAACGCUGGCGGAAUGCUUUACACAUGCAAGUCGAACGGCAGCACGGACUUCGGUCUGGUGGCGAGUGGCGAACGGGUGAGUAAUGUAUCGGAACGUGCCCAGUCGUGGGGGAUAACGUAGCGAAAAUUACGCUAAUACCGCAUACGAUCUAUGGAUGAAAGCGGGGGAUCACAAGACCUCGCGCGAUUGGAGCGGCCGAUAUCAGAUUAGGUAGUUGGUGGGGUAAAGGCCCACCAAGCCAACGAUCUGUAGCUGGUCUGAGAGGACGACCAGCCACACUGGAACUGAGACACGGUCCAGACUCCUACGGGAGGCAGCAGUGGGGAAUUUUGGACAAUGGGCGAAAGCCUGAUCCAGCCAUUCCGCGUGCAGGAUGAAGGCCCUCGGGUUGUAAACUGCUUUUGUACAGAACGAAAAGGUUUCUACUAAUACUAGGAGCUCAUGACGGUACUGUAAGAAUAAGCACCGGCUAACUACGUGCCAGCAGCCGCGGUAA